GGUCCGUUCGUAACUACUUCGUCUGGCAGAGGCGGGGGAACCAAUUCUGGCCUUGUGUGCAAGGCCUUGGGGUUAAGUCGUCAGAUCGCGAAAGCGACGGACGGCCGGAUGGCUCCCAUCCGAAUCCGACAGCUCACCUCGUAGGCAUCGGGAGAGGCUUU
Molecule: small RNA, 161 nt
Filed under: Arthrobacter woluwensis
Lineage: Bacteria; Bacillati; Actinomycetota; Actinomycetes; Micrococcales; Micrococcaceae
Description: c-di-AMP sequence
Rfam family: c-di-AMP riboswitch aptamer (ydaO/yuaA leader)
About the family: This family represents a conserved RNA structure found upstream of the ydaO and yuaA genes in Bacillus subtilis and related genes in other bacteria. The ydaO/yuaA element is thought to act as a genetic "off" switch for the ydaO and yuaA genes in its native state. It is believed that the element may be triggered during osmotic shock leading to activation of ydaO, a predicted amino acid transporter gene, and members of the yuaA-yubG operon which code for KtrA and KtrB K+ transporters.
Source: RNAcentral